CCCUUCGAGUAACCACAGGAUUGCUAUACAAAUCAAAUGAGAUCGUGUGAGUUAAUUUAUGUUGGAAAACAUGAGGCACUUCAUUCAUUCAUUCCACAUUCAUCGGGCAUCGUCUAUGUAGGUCUCUGUGCCAGGGACAGAGAUGUGAGAAAAAGGUUGCGAGAGGUUCUGGGAAAAGUUGCCUUGCUCUUAAGAGACACAAGAUGAAAUGGUUUCUCUUCAUAUGGAUAUAGGGCUCAGAUGCUAGUCCAAGAUAUGGAGCUGGCAUGCAACUCAAUCACACGAGCUGCUAAGGUCCCUUCAGAGUUUAAGCCCAUUUGAAUGUAUUUUCUUUUACAGGUAGCCAACAGCAUCCAGAGACAGGUGUGAACAGCAUUUGAGACUUGAAGAAUCAGUCUCCCAAAGGAGCAUCAGAGCAGAUUUUGAUGCUGGCACCAGCCUUUGACUUCUGCUUGGCUGGCCCCAUCUCUUAGAUCCCUGCUUGACUGACAGCCCAAUUCUGUCGAGCCCUUCUCUAUAACGGUCAUUACAAACAACCCUGAAGUGGCUGGAAUAUAGUCAGCAAGGGGCCCACAUGAACAGCUCAUCUGGAAUCUUUGCAAAUAUUCAAGUCCUCAAACAUACCUUACCCUAUGCCUGCACCUUUUGAAUGUUCUCAUUAAACCAAGGGAAGUCUUGGAACCUCCUUAUUAGUCUGCCUUGCCAAGCUGAAGAACUGUGCCGACUUCUCUGGUGGCUACGGCUGCGGCUACGGCUGCUGGAGCGGGACCUGUGGCGAUGGCGUUUCUCCCGAGAUUUGGAUCGAGUUCUCCUCUUGCGUUCACGUGACAUGGAGCGAGAUCGAUGUCUGCGAUGCUCUCUGGACCUGGAUCUACCAGACAAGAUUUGAUUUUGUUUCUACCUUUGUAAUUACUAUAUUUCUCAUUUAUUAAAGCCUUUUCUUU
Molecule: long non-coding RNA, 944 nt
Filed under: Homo sapiens (human)
Lineage: Eukaryota; Metazoa; Chordata; Mammalia; Primates; Hominidae
Description: long non-coding RNA NONHSAT214048.1
Source: RNAcentral